AGAGCGAACGCUGGCGGCAGGCCUAACACAUGCAAGUCGAGCGCCCCGCAAGGGGAGCGGCAGACGGGAGAGUAACACGUGGGAACGUACCCUUCAGUUCGGAACAACCCAGGGAAACUUGGGCUAAUACCGGAUACGUCCGUAAGGAGAAAGAUUUAUCGCUGAAGGAUCGGCCCGCGUCUGAUUAGCUUGUUGGUGAGGUAACGGCUCACCAAGGCUACGAUCAGUAGCUGGUCUGAGAGGAUGAUCAGCCUCACUGGGACUGAGACACGGCCCAGACUCCUACGGGAGGCAGCAGUGGGGAAUAUUGGACAAUGGGCGCAAGCCUGAUCCAGCCAUGCCGCGUGGAUGAUGAAGGCCCUAGGGUUGUAAAGUCCUUUCGGCGGGGAAGAUAAUGACGGUACCCGCAGAAGAAGCCCCGGCUAACUUCGCGCCAGCAGCCGC
This 444-nucleotide ribosomal RNA is filed under the name uncultured bacterium. RNAcentral describes it as "SSU rRNA". It matches the Rfam family "Bacterial small subunit ribosomal RNA", at positions 26 to 518 of the family's 1533-position model. The record is from RNAcentral.